AUUGAACGCUGGCGGCAGGCCUAACACAUGCAAGUCGAGCGGCAGCGGGAGGAAGCUUGCUUCCUUGCCGGCGAGCGGCGGACGGGUGAGUAAGGUAUGGGGAUCUGGCCGAAGGCGGGGGAUAACCACUGGAAACGGCGGCUAAUACCGCAUAAUCUCUAAGGAGCAAAGGGGGGGACAGUUCAGGCCUCACACCUGCGGAUGAACCCAUAUGCAAUUAGCUCGUAGGUGGGGUAAUGGCUCACCUAGGCGACGAUCUCUAGCUGGUCUGAGAGGAUGAUCAGCCACACUGGGACUGAGACACGGCCCAGACUCCUACGGGAGGCAGCAGUGGGGAAUAUUGCACAAUGGGCGCAAGCCUGAUGCAGCCAUGCCGCGUGUAUGAAGAAGGCCUUCGGGUUGUAAAGUACUUUCAGUCGUGAGGAAGGUGUUAAGGUUAAUAACCUUAGCAAUUGACGUUAGCGACAGAAGAAGCACCGGCUAACUCCGUGCCAGCCGCCGCAGUAA
Molecule: ribosomal RNA, 507 nt
Filed under: uncultured bacterium
Lineage: Bacteria
Description: partial 16S ribosomal RNA
Rfam family: Bacterial small subunit ribosomal RNA
Source: RNAcentral